RNAcentral lists this ribosomal RNA (1403 nucleotides) under metagenome. RNAcentral's name for it is "bacterial LSU rRNA". It matches the Rfam family "Bacterial large subunit ribosomal RNA", at positions 1531 to 2925 of the family's 2925-position model. The record is from RNAcentral.
UUUAGGUAAAUCCGGGGAUCUUAGAUGAGGGGUGAUAACGAGGCAGCUUGCUGCCGAAGUGAGUGAUACCCUGCUUCCAGGAAAAGCCACUAAGCUUCAGCUACACACGACCGUACCGCAAACCGACACUGGUGCGCGAGAUGAGUAUUCUAAGGCGCUUGAGAGAACUCUGGAGAAGGAACUCGGCAAAUUGACACCGUAACUUCGGAAGAAGGUGUGCCUUUAGUAGGUGAUCCAUUUACUUGGUGAGCCCAAUGAGGCCGCAGAGAAUCGGUGGCUGCAACUGUUUACUAAAAACACAGCACUCUGCAAAGACGAAAGUCGACGUAUAGGGUGUGACGCCUGCCCGGUGCUGGAAGAUUAAAUGAUGGGGUGCAAGCUCUUGAUUGAAGUCCCAGUAAACGGCGGCCGUAACAAUAACGGUCCUAAGGUAGCGAAAUUCCUUGUCGGGUAAGUUCCGACCUGCACGAAUGGCGUAAUGAUGGCCACACUGUCUCCUCCAGAGACUCAGCGAAGUUGAAAUGUUUGUGAUGAUGCAAUCUCCCCGCGGAAAGACGGAAAGACCCCAUGAACCUUUACUGUAGCUUUACAUUGGACUUUGAACAGAUCUGUGUAGGAUAGGUGGGAGGCUUUGAAGCGGUGCCGCUAGGUGUCGUGGAGCCAACGUUGAAAUACCACCCUGGUGUGUUUGAGGUUCUAACCUUGGCCCGUUAUCCGGGUUGGGGACAGUGUAUGGUGGGCAGUUUGACUGGGGCGGUCUCCUCCCAAAGUGUAACGGAGGAGUUCGAAGGUACGCUAAAUACGGUCGGAAAUCGUGUUGAUAGUGCAUUGGCAUAAGCGUGCUUGACUGCGAGACUGACAAGUCGAGCAGGUACGAAAGUAGGACAAAGUGAUCCGGUGGUUCUGUAUGGAAGGGCCAUCGCUCAACGGAUAAAAGGUACUCUGGGGAUAACAGGCUGAUACCGCCCAAGAGUUCAUAUCGACGGCGGUGUUUGGCACCUCGAUGUCGGCUCAUCUCAUCCUGGGGCUGUAGCCGGUCCCAAGGGUAUGGCUGUUCGCCAUUUAAAGAGGUACGUGAGCUGGGUUUAAAACGUCGUGAGACAGUUUGGUCCCUAUCUUCCGUGGGCGCUGCAAGAUUGAGAGAGCCUGCUCCUAGUACGAGAGGACCGGAGUGGGCGCACCUCUGGUGCAUCGGUUGUCACGCCAGUGGCAUAGCCGAGUAGCUAAGAGCGGAAGAGAUAACCGCUGAAAGCAUCUAAGCGGGAAACUCGUCUCAAGAUGAGUCUUGCCGGGGCCUUGAGCCCCCUGAAGAGUCGUUCGAGACCAGGACGUUGAUAGGCUGGGUGUGAAGCGCAGUAAUGCGUUAAGCUGACCAGUACUAAUUGCUCGUGAGGCUUGACCUC